ACAGAUCGUUCAGAGUUUGAUCCUGGCUCAGGAUGAACGCUGGCGGCGUGCAUAACACAUUCAAGUCGAACGGACAGUAGAAAUACUGUUAGUGGCGGACGGGUGAGUAACGCGUGAGCAAUCUGCCUUCAAGUGGGGAAUAACAGGGAGAAAUCGCUGCUAAUACCGCGUAAUACAUCGAGGUCGCAUGGCCAUGAUGUCAAAGAUUUAUCGCUUGAAGAUGAGCUUGCGUCCGAUUAGGUAGUUGGUGAGGUAACGGCCCACCAAGCCGACGAUCGGUAGCCGAACUGAGAGGUUGAACGGCCACAUUGGAACUGAGAUACGGUCCAG
Molecule: ribosomal RNA, 330 nt
Filed under: uncultured bacterium
Lineage: Bacteria
Description: bacterial SSU rRNA
Rfam family: Bacterial small subunit ribosomal RNA
Source: RNAcentral